UCCCUGAUAGCUCAGUUGGUAAAGAAUCUGCCUGCAAUGCAGGAGACCCUGGUUUGAUUCCUGGGUGGGGAA
RNAcentral lists this transfer RNA (72 nucleotides) under Odocoileus virginianus texanus. It matches the Rfam family "tRNA". From Rfam's summary of the family: Transfer RNA (tRNA) molecules are approximately 80 nucleotides in length. Their secondary structure includes four short double-helical elements and three loops (D, anti-codon, and T loops). RNAcentral also lists the same sequence under 4 other names. Lineage: Eukaryota; Metazoa; Chordata; Mammalia; Artiodactyla; Cervidae. The record is from Rfam by way of RNAcentral.